GGGUUGUGAGGUUAAGCGACUAAGCGUACACGGUGGAUGCCCUGGCAGUCAGAGGCGAUGAAGGACGUGCUAAUCUGCGAAAAGCGUCGGUAAGGUGAUAUGAACCGUUACAGCCGGCGAUGUCCGAAUGGGGAAACCCAGUGUGAUUCGUCACACUAUCGUUAACUGAAUACAUAGGUUAACGAGGCGAACCGGGGGAACUGAAACAUCUAAGUACCCCGAGGAAAAGAAAUCAACCGAGAUUCCCCCAGUAGCGGCGAGCGAACGGGGAGCAGCCCAGAGUCUGAAUCAGCUUGUGUGUUAGUGGAACGGUCUGGAAAGUCCGACGGUACAGGGUGAUAGUCCCGUACACCAAAAUGCACAGGCUGUGAACUCGAAGAGUAGGGCGGGACACGUGGUAUCCUGUCUGAAUAUGGGGGGACCAUCCUCCAAGGCUAAAUACUCCUGACUGACCGAUAGUGAACCAGUACCGUGAGGGAAAGGCGAAAAGAACCCCGGCGAGGGGAGUGAAAAAGAACCUGAAACCGUGUACGUACAAGCAGUGGGAGCACCUUCGGGUGUGACUGCGUACCUUUUGUAUAAUGGGUCAGCGACUUAUAUUCUGUAGCAAGGUUAACCGUAUAGGGGAGCCGCAGGGAAACCGAGUCUUAACUGGGCGUUAAGUUGCAGGGUAUAGACCCGAAACCCGGUGAUCUAGCCAUGGGCAGGUUGAAGGUUGGGUAACACUAACUGGAGGACCGAACCGACUAAUGUUGAAAAAUUAGCGGAUGACUUGUGGCUGGGGGUGAAAGGCCAAUCAAACCGGGAGAUAGCUGGUUCUCCCCGAAAGCUAUUUAGGUAGCGCCUCGUGAAUUCAUCUUCGGGGGUAGAGCACUGUUUCGGCUAGGGGGUCAUCCCGACUUACCAACCCGAUGCAAACUACGAAUACCGAAGAAUGUUAUCACGGGAGACACACGGCGGGUGCUAACGUCCGUCGUGAAGAGGGAAACAACCCAGACCGCCAGCUAAGGUCCCAAAGUCACAGUUAAGUGGGAAACGAUGUGGGAAGGCACAGACAGCCAGGAUGUUGGCUUAGAAGCAGCCAUCAUUUAAAGAAAGCGUAAUAGCUCACUGGUCGAGUCGGCCUGCGCGGAAGAUGUAACGGGGCUAAACUGUGCACCGAAGCUGCGGCAGCGACACUAUGUGUUGUUGGGUAGGGGAGCGUUCUGUAAGCCUGCGAAGGUGGCCUGUGAGGGUUGCUGGAGGUAUCAGAAGUGCGAAUGCUGACAUAAGUAACGAUAAUGCGGGUGAAAAGCCCGCACGCCGGAAGACCAAGGGUUCCUGUCCAACGUUAAUCGGGGCAGGGUGAGUCGACCCCUAAGGCGAGGCCGAAAGGCGUAGUCGAUGGGAAACAGGUUAAUAUUCCUGUACUUGGUGUUACUGCGAAGGGGGGACGGAGAAGGCUAUGUUAGCCGGGCGACGGUUGUCCCGGUUUAAGCAUGUAGGCGGAGGUUCCAGGUAAAUCCGGUACCUUUUUAACGCUGAGGUGUGAUGACGAGGCACUACGGUGCUGAAGUAACAAAUGCCCUGCUUCCAGGAAAAGCCUCUAAGCAUCAGGUAACAUUGAAUCGUACCCCAAACCGACACAGGUGGUCAGGUAGAGAAUACCAAGGCGCUUGAGAGAACUCGGGUGAAGGAACUAGGCAAAAUGGUGCCGUAACUUCGGGAGAAGGCACGCUGAUAUGUAGGUGAAGCCCCUGCGGGUGGAGCUGAAAUCAGUCGAAGAUACCAGCUGGCUGCAACUGUUUAUUAAAAACACAGCACUGUGCAAACACGAAAGUGGACGUAUACGGUGUGACGCCUGCCCGGUGCCGGAAGGUUAAUUGAUGGGGUUAUCCGUAAGGAGAAGCUCUUGAUCGAAGCCCCGGUAAACGGCGGCCGUAACUAUAACGGUCCUAAGGUAGCGAAAUUCCUUGUCGGGUAAGUUCCGACCUGCACGAAUGGCGUAAUGAUGGCCAGGCUGUCUCCACCCGAGACUCAGUGAAAUUGAACUCGCUGUGAAGAUGCAGUGUACCCGCGGCAAGACGGAAAGACCCCGUGAACCUUUACUAUAGCUUGACACUGAACAUUGAGCCUUGAUGUGUAGGAUAGGUGGGAGGCUUUGAAGCGUGGACGCCAGUCUGCGUGGAGCCAACCUUGAAAUACCACCCUUUAAUGUUUGAUGUUCUAACGUUGGCCCCUUAUCGGGGUUGCGGACAGUGUCUGGUGGGUAGUUUGACUGGGGCGGUCUCCUCCCAAAGAGUAACGGAGGAGCACGAAGGUUAGCUAAUCCUGGUCGGACAUCAGGAGGUUAGUGCAAUGGCAUAAGCUAGCUUGACUGCGAGCGUGACGGCGCGAGCAGGUGCGAAAGCAGGUCAUAGUGAUCCGGUGGUUCUGAAUGGAAGGGCCAUCGCUCAACGGAUAAAAGGUACUCCGGGGAUAACAGGCUGAUACCGCCCAAGAGUUCAUAUCGACGGCGGUGUUUGGCACCUCGAUGUCGGCUCAUCACAUCCUGGGGCUGAAGUAGGUCCCAAGGGUAUGGCUGUUCGCCAUUUAAAGUGGUACGCGAGCUGGGUUUAGAACGUCGUGAGACAGUUCGGUCCCUAUCUGCCGUGGGCGCUGGAGAAUUGAGGGGGGCUGCUCCUAGUACGAGAGGACCGGAGUGGACGCAUCACUGGUGUUCGGGUUGUCAUGCCAAUGGCAUUGCCCGGUAGCUAAAUGCGGAAGAGAUAAGUGCUGAAAGCAUCUAAGCACGAAACUUGCCCCGAGAUGAGUUCUCCCUGACUCCUUGAGAGUCCUGAAGGAACGUUAAAGACGAUGACGUUGAUAGGUCGGGUGUGUAAGCGUAGCGAUACGUUGAGCUAACCGAUACUAAUGAACCGUGAGGCUUAACCUUACAACGCCGAAG
Molecule: ribosomal RNA, 2926 nt
Filed under: Klebsiella aerogenes
Lineage: Bacteria; Pseudomonadati; Pseudomonadota; Gammaproteobacteria; Enterobacterales; Enterobacteriaceae
Description: bacterial LSU rRNA
Rfam family: Bacterial large subunit ribosomal RNA
Source: RNAcentral